This is a non-coding RNA of Cyprinus carpio (common carp), 484 nucleotides long. The record is from the annotation of a RefSeq genome assembly. NCBI's taxonomy places the organism in Eukaryota, Metazoa, Chordata, Actinopteri, Cypriniformes, Cyprinidae.
AUCUCCUGUUGCAUAUUUAAACAGCAGGCAUGAGUCAGUUUAUACAUUCAUCUGAUCACUAGAGGAGUGAAGAAUCACUUCAGUUCAUUCAAACUGUGCUGUGAAACAAACCAUGAUCUCUUCAUCUUUAGUGUUGCUUCUGGCAGUGAUAUCCUGUAUUGAUUCAAAUGAACUCACUCAGCCUGAGUCUCUGACUGUCCGUCCUGAUGCCACUCUCACUAUCAACUGUAAAGUCUCCUAUUCAGUUACAAGCUAUAGCAGCAGCUGGAUUCGUCAGCCUGCAGGAAAAGCUCUGGAGUGGAUUGGAGUCAUCUGGAGUAGUGGAGGCUUAGCCUACAAGGAUUCCCUGAAAAGCAAGUUCAGUAUCACCAGAGACACUUCCAGUAACACAAUAACACUGCAAGGAAAGAAUAUGCAAGCUGAAGACACAGCUGUGUAUUAUUGUGCCAGAGAAACACAGUGACAGACGCCAACAGCCUCUCUG